Molecule: ribosomal RNA, 497 nt
Filed under: uncultured bacterium
Lineage: Bacteria
Description: partial 16S ribosomal RNA
Rfam family: Bacterial small subunit ribosomal RNA
Source: RNAcentral
GACGAACGCUGGCGGCGUGCCUAAUACAUGCCAGUUGAGCGCUGAAGGUUGGUACUUGUACCGUCUGGAUGAGCCGCGAACGGGUGAGUAACGCGUGGGGCAUCUGCCUUUCAGCGGGGGACAACAUUUGGAAACGAAUGCUAAUACCGCAUAAAAACUUUAAACACAAGUUUUAAGUUUGAAAGAUGCAAUUGCAUCACUCAAAGAUGAUCCCGCGUUGUAUUAGCUAGUUGGUGAGGUAAAGGCUCACCAAGGCGAUGAUACAUAGCCGACCUGAGAGGGUGAGCGGCCACAUUGGGACUGAGACACGGCACAAACGCCUACGGGAGGCAGCAGUAGGGAAUCUUCGGCAAUGGACGAAAGUCUGACCGAGCAACGCCGCGGGAGUGAAGAAGGAUUUCGGGUCGGAAAACUCUGUUGGUAGAGAAGAACGUUGGUGAGAGUGGAAAGCUCAGCAAGUGACGGUAACUACCCAGAAAGGGACGGCUAACUACGUG